This 222-nucleotide long non-coding RNA is filed under the name Elaeis guineensis (African oil palm). RNAcentral's name for it is "long non-coding RNA (EGUI_LNC040622)". The record is from RNAcentral. Lineage: Eukaryota; Viridiplantae; Streptophyta; Magnoliopsida; Arecales; Arecaceae.
GUAACCUAUCGAGGUUCUUGGUUCGCAGUAACUAGAAGUAUAAUUUUUUCUACUUUGAUUGAGUUAUUAGAGAAUCUGACUAGAUGUGUGUUUACUUUCUUUAGUCAGUCUAUAGAUAAUUUCAUCUAAAGAAAAGCAUAUAAAAUAACACAUCUGCCGAGCUCCCAUAAUCUACUAAUAUCCUUUUUACAUCAUAAGUAACUAUCAUCAUAAAGACUACCA